Molecule: ribosomal RNA, 253 nt
Filed under: uncultured bacterium
Lineage: Bacteria
Description: partial 16S ribosomal RNA
Rfam family: Bacterial small subunit ribosomal RNA
Source: RNAcentral
UACGUAGGGGGCAAGCGUUGUCCGGAAUCAUUGGGCGUAAAGCGCGCGUAGGCGGCUCGAUCAAUCUGCUGUGAAAGUCAAAGGCUCAACCUUUGAAUGCCGGUGGAUACUGUCGAGCUAGAGUCCGGAAGAGGCGAGUGGAAUUCCUGGUGUAGCGGUGGAAUGCGCAGAUAUCAGGAGGAACACCAACGGCGAAGGCAGCUCGCUGGGACGGUACUGACGCUAAGGCGCGAAAGCGUGGGGAGCGAACAGG